RNAcentral lists this ribosomal RNA (303 nucleotides) under Triticum aestivum (bread wheat). RNAcentral describes it as "partial small subunit ribosomal RNA". The record is from RNAcentral. Lineage: Eukaryota; Viridiplantae; Streptophyta; Magnoliopsida; Poales; Poaceae.
AUGGGCAUGGAAGGCCCAGUCUACUCAGCCAGCAAGCAGGAGGUCCCGAACGUUAAGCUGGGGCUUUCCUUCAAUGAGCUGAUCGACAAGCUGAAGGUGCAUGAAGAGGGGAGGGCUGAGCGCUUCGCGACCGAGUCCCGAAAGCUUGCCCGCAACGCCCUCUUCAUGGUCCUGAGCAACAUCGCCUGCCGCCACCCAGAGCUCGACCUUGAUGAUGGCUUCAAUAAGCCGCCAGCAGGCGCCGACAUUGCAGCUGCCGAGAAGGAGGUCGCUCCCCGCGCCGACAGGGUUCUUCGCGUUUAA